Molecule: long non-coding RNA, 498 nt
Organism: Hordeum vulgare subsp. vulgare (domesticated barley)
Lineage: Eukaryota; Viridiplantae; Streptophyta; Magnoliopsida; Poales; Poaceae
Exons: 2
Source: RefSeq, a predicted model, not a curated record
AUAAGAACAACUUUGUGUAUAUAUCUUAUGGAGGGAGAAAAUAUUGAGUGAGAUAUGGAGUAAAUGGUCUCGAGCUACAAGUCUAUAUAUAAAGAUAUAAUUGGGUACGCUUUUGUACACCAAAACUGAGAGGAGAAGAAGAUCAUAGUGUCUAGUCUAAUGGAAGGCAAAGCUAUUCUUCUUUGCCUCAUGGUGAUUGUGCAGCUCGGAAAUUCCAUUCAUGUUGAGCAAUGUUUUAGUGGAGUUGCAUUUGGAGCUCAUGUAUGUAGGGAAUCACAAUGUCGGUUGUCCUGCGAGCAAAAAUGGGGAAAAGAUAUCCUGAAUUCUUUCUGUAGGGUCGAUAUCCCAAACUAUCUCCAUUGUUACUGCAUAGUCUGUAUCACCUAGAGUUGCACUAUGAAGUCAUGUCCAACAAUGGAUAAUGUAGGUCAAGUAAUGAAACCUUCUUAUGGUAUGCAUGUAAUAUCCAACAAUGGAAUUAUUUAGGUGUUCUUGAUA